GCCCAGGUGGCGGAAUUGGUAGACGCGUUGGUCUCAAACACCAAUGUCAGCAAUGACGUGCCGGUUCGACUCCGGCCCUGGGUA
This 84-nucleotide transfer RNA is filed under the name Cytophagales bacterium. Its description in RNAcentral is "tRNA-Leu". It matches the Rfam family "tRNA". From Rfam's summary of the family: Transfer RNA (tRNA) molecules are approximately 80 nucleotides in length. Their secondary structure includes four short double-helical elements and three loops (D, anti-codon, and T loops). Lineage: Bacteria; Pseudomonadati; Bacteroidota; Cytophagia; Cytophagales. RNAcentral also lists the same sequence under 1 other name. The record is from RNAcentral.